Nerophis lumbriciformis (worm pipefish) is the source of this 340-nucleotide long non-coding RNA. RefSeq lists it as uncharacterized. NCBI's taxonomy places the organism in Eukaryota, Metazoa, Chordata, Actinopteri, Syngnathiformes, Syngnathidae. The record is from RefSeq and is a predicted model, not a curated record.
UACGCUCUGCCCAACCUCUCAAGAUUCUGGGACAUGGCUCUCUCUCUUGCUCUAUCUUGCCAUCUUCUGUCUCUCAAAGUCAACACGUGAUGUAUUUAUGCUUUUUUUUCCCCCUUCUGUUGGCUUGAAGUGGAUGUUCCCAGCAACAUUCCUCCCUGUGAUUGGCAGCCAUACCAAGAGAAAGGGGGAUGAAAGAACGGCUAAUGAAGGCUUUGAAAAUUCCAAACAGACCGGAACUAUCAAAAGUGGACUGAAAGACGUCAAUCUCCAGUCAGUGUACAUACUCAUACAGCGACAGUCUGUCUGCUGGGAUGGGGUCCCUUCUUGGCUCCUACGCAGA